Non-coding RNA from Zootermopsis nevadensis, 1788 nucleotides. NCBI's taxonomy places the organism in Eukaryota, Metazoa, Arthropoda, Insecta, Blattodea, Termopsidae. The record is from RefSeq and is a predicted model, not a curated record.
CUUACUUGUACUUGUGUUGCUUUAAUUGGUUAUUGUACGACGUUAUGCCUACUGAAAAGGUCACGCAACGUCGGAUGAACUUAUAUCACCUUGGUCCUUAUUCCGUCAUGUGAAUUCGCAAAUAUUCAGGUUCCUGCAGUAGAUAACAUGUUUUACAGUGAGGAGAAUAGUAGAUUUAAACAGGGGACGAGAGGCAGAAUAUGAGGAGUGGAUACGGAAAAGAAGAGAGUGUAAUAGGGAAGGAGAUACAGGGAGAGGAACACAGAAAUGAAGAUGGAACGAGUUAAAGAAAGGAAGACAGGAAAAUGUUUUACUCGGCUAUGGAAAAACUUCGGAGGUAGAAAGUAAGUUGACAGAACCGGCACGUGAUGACAACGUCGUGGGGAAACAUCUCACCUCAGACGAAGAAAUUAAAUGGGAAUUUGAAGGAAAAUAUACCGCGAAGUUCGUGGUUCGUACUGCGUUUCUUCUAUUGAAUGGCGUUUAGAUUAAGAAGCUUCAAGGAGACUGCUAAUACAAUGCUUCGGUAACUUCUGAUCUACACAGCGACGAGAUUCACAUGACGUUACAACCGAGAGGAGCAUCAUUGUCGAACAGAAGUUGCCUCGGUACAGAACCGAUUGGGGAAGAGUAUUUCUAAUUUAUACCUUUAGGGACAUCAACACCAACCAACAUCUUGGAAAUUUAAAAUGGUAUUUGGAUGAAAUUCGUAUUUGUAGAAGUCCGGCUUUGCAAAGGCAGAUAUGAAUUAUCUCAGAACACAUUCUGGUUCGGAGACCUAAGGGUUACGUUGUGCGACGCAGGGAUUCUCCGUGAGGCAGGCAGCCACUGUGACGUAGCAGUGACACAUCCUCUUUAGGAAAAGUCUGUGUGAUGUCCCGCGGUCUGAAGUAGUCGAUCCAUGUAUACAUCGCGAGUUACAUUAAUUAUGAGCUAUUUUUCAAGUCGGUUUGCUUGUGUUCCGUCAUGUAAUUCACUAGAUGGAUAUUAAUUAAAUUUGGUGUGGCGUGAAGAUUCAGAGUUGAAGGAAGAUUUUGUUUUGUCCCUGUCUGAUAUUAAUAAAAUUUACAUUUUUAGAAAAUUGAUCGCGGUGCAUAAAUAUGCACGUCUAUUUGGUGCCUAUGAAUUUCACGUGAAAUAUUUCAUAAUUUUGUAUCUAAUUAUUCAAAUACAAAAAAAUAACUAUUACUGGUUGCAUGGUGAAUAAUAAUAAUAAUAAUAAUAUUACUAAUGUUUCUGUCCGCAGUAGAGUUUUGUCAGAAGUAACAAACGGCGUAGGUAUUUAAAUUGCACUGGAUUCAUUUCAAAUCUCAGUGUACUCCAAACUGGAGUAUGUCUUCCCUCUUCUUUUCAUUUAUUACUUAAGUUUCCAUGACACUAUAUUUAGAGUGCGGGUAUCAUUUGCUUAGGUGCAGGUACCCGUUUUCCACUUAAACCCUGUUUUCAUAGCCUUGUGAUCUCGGCAACUUGUCUCACACGUGUGUAAAGCGUACGAUAUAAACAACCCUGUGGUGUUAAACUCAUAUGAGGGGUUGCAUAGCUAAUGAAUUUCAGGUUGACAUUUGGAAAAGGAAUUAAACUAGAACGAGGGCAGUAUGUUCAGUCCGUGUUCUCUGUGUGUCACCUCGAAAUUACUUUGAACAAAGUGAUCGAGUUUCUAGAACUCAGUAGGAAGAGAUCAUAACAACGGAGUCAGCCGGACGUGAGUCCUUCAGUUGUUAAUUAAAUUAUCUAAAAUGUAUGACUGUUUUUAUUCAGAUCAGCAGAGGCGAAACAUUGUUUUCUGAA